GACGCCGUGAGAUGGAGUCUGAAGGAAGCCAGCGGCAAAGCCUCUGUCUGAGGUACACGAAUCAUAUUUAGGUUCAAUUAUUUAGAAGGAUUUGCCGUGAAAAGUAUAGUACAACAACUAUACGAGACAAAAAGAAAAAAUGUGUCAUAUAGAUAAGAUGAAUAAGUGAUAUUA
This 174-nucleotide non-coding RNA is filed under the name Clostridium sp. Maddingley MBC34-26. Lineage: Bacteria; Bacillati; Bacillota; Clostridia; Eubacteriales; Clostridiaceae. The record is from RNAcentral.